CAGUGGGGUCAAAAAGGGGGGUAGUGGCUAAACUCCAGACACAAAACGGACCUUCUGACGUCACACUAUCACGUGACAUUUCUAGGUCACGUGGGUCAGCAGCCAGCACGCGCUUCUAUUACAGUAGGAAGGUUAGGCAUGGCUGCUCUGCGCAGCAGCAUCUU
This is a long non-coding RNA of Bufo bufo (common toad), 164 nucleotides long. RefSeq lists it as uncharacterized. The record is from RefSeq and is a predicted model, not a curated record. Lineage: Eukaryota; Metazoa; Chordata; Amphibia; Anura; Bufonidae. The transcript is spliced from 3 exons.